This 372-nucleotide ribosomal RNA is filed under the name uncultured bacterium. RNAcentral's name for it is "bacterial SSU rRNA". It matches the Rfam family "Bacterial small subunit ribosomal RNA", at positions 524 to 898 of the family's 1533-position model. The record is from RNAcentral.
UACGGAGGAUGCAAGCGUUAUCCGGAUUCAUUGGGUUUAAAGGGUGCGCAGGCGGAUUGAUAAGUCAGGGGUGAAAUCCCACAGCUCAACUGUGGAACUGCCCUUGAUACUGUUAGUCUAGAGUAUAGUUGAAGUUGGCGGAAUGUGUCAUGUAGCGGUGAAAUGCUUAGAUAUGACACAGAACACCGAUCGCGAAGGCAGCUAGCUAAGCUAUAACUGACGCUCAUGCACGAAAGCGUGGGGAUCAAACAGGAUUAGAUACCCUGGUAGUCCACGCUGUAAACGAUGAUUACUCGAUGUUGGCGAUACACAGUCAGCGUCUAAGGGAAACCAAUAAGUAAUCCACCUGGGGAGUACGAUCGCAAGAUUGAA